CAUCUUUCGUUUAGGGUCUC
RNAcentral lists this non-coding RNA (20 nucleotides) under Arabidopsis thaliana (thale cress). The record is from RNAcentral. Lineage: Eukaryota; Viridiplantae; Streptophyta; Magnoliopsida; Brassicales; Brassicaceae.